This 483-nucleotide ribosomal RNA is filed under the name uncultured bacterium. RNAcentral's name for it is "partial 16S ribosomal RNA". It matches the Rfam family "Bacterial small subunit ribosomal RNA", at positions 30 to 506 of the family's 1533-position model. The record is from RNAcentral.
AUUGAACGCUGGCGGCAGGCCUAACACAUGCAAGUCGAGCGGAUGAAGGGAGCUUGCUCCUGGAUUCAGCGGCGGACGGGCGAGUAAUGCCUAGGAAUCUGCCUGGUCGAGGGGGAUAACGUCCGGAAACGGGCGCUAAUACCGCAUACGACGUGAGGGAGAAAGUGGGGGAUCUUCGGACAAAACGCUACCAGAUGAGCCUAGGUCGGUUUGGCUAGUUGGAGGGGUAAGGGCGUACCAAGGCGACGUUCCGUAACAGGUCUGAGUGGAUGAUCAGUCACCCUGGACCUGGGACCCGGCCCAGACCCCUACGGGAGGCAGCGUUGGGGAAUUUUCGACAAUGGGCGAAGGCCUGCGCCAGCCAGGCCGCGUGUGUGUAGAAGGUCUUCGGUUUGUAAAGCACUUUAUGUUGGGAGGACGUGCAGUAAGUUAACUCCUUGCUGUUUUGACGUUACCGACAGAAUAAGCACCGCCUAACUUCUU